CGGAGCAUAGCUCAGCCCGGUAGAGCACAGCCUUCGGGAGGCUGGGGUCGGAGGUUCGAAUCCUCUUGCUCCGACCA
This 77-nucleotide transfer RNA is filed under the name Holosporaceae bacterium. RNAcentral describes it as "tRNA-Pro". It matches the Rfam family "tRNA". From Rfam's summary of the family: Transfer RNA (tRNA) molecules are approximately 80 nucleotides in length. Their secondary structure includes four short double-helical elements and three loops (D, anti-codon, and T loops). Lineage: Bacteria; Pseudomonadati; Pseudomonadota; Alphaproteobacteria; Holosporales; Holosporaceae. The record is from RNAcentral.